GAUGAACGCUUGCUACAGGCUUAACACAUGCAAGUCGAGGGGCAGCAUGGUCUUAGCUUGCUAAGGCCGAUGGCGACCGGCGCACGGGUGAGUAACACGUAUCCAACCUGCCGUCUACUCUUGGACAGCCUUCUGAAAGGAAGAUUAAUACAAGAUGGCAUCAUGAGUCCGCAUGUUCACAUGAUUAAAGGUAUUCCGGUAGACGAUGGGGAUGCGUUCCAUUAGAUAGUAGGCGGGGUAACGGCCCACCUAGUCUUCGAUGGAUAGGGGUUCUGAGAGGAAGGUCCCCCACAUUGGAACUGAGACACGGUCCAAACUCCUACGGGAGGCAGCAGUGAGGAAUAUUGGUCAAUGGGCGAGAGCCUGAACCAGCCAAGUAGCGUGAAGGAUGACUGCCCUAUGGGUUGUAAACUUCUUUUAUAAAGGAAUAAAGUCGGGUAUGCAUACCCGUUUGCAUGUACUUUAUGAAUAAGGAUCGGCUAACUCCGUGCCAGCAGCCGCGGUAAUACGGAGGAUCCGAGCGUUAUCCGGAUUUAUUGGGUUUAAAGGGAGCGUAGAUGGAUGUUUAAGUCAGUUGUGAAAGUUUGCGGCUCAACCGUAAAAUUGCAGUUGAUACUGGAUAUCUUGAGUGCAGUUGAGGCAGGCGGAAUUCGUGGUGUAGCGGUGAAAUGCUUAGAUAUCACGAAGAACUCCGAUUGCGAAGGCAGCCUGCUAAGCUGCAACUGACAUUGAGGCUCGAAAGUGUGGGUAUCAAACAGGAUUAGAUACCCUGGUAGUCCACACGGUAAACGAUGAAUACUCGCUGUUUGCGAUAUACAGCAAGCGGCCAAGCGAAAGCGUUAAGUAUUCCACCUGGGGAGUACGCCGGCAACGGUGAAACUCAAAGGAAUUGACGGGGGCCCGCACAAGCGGAGGAACAUGUGGUUUAAUUCGAUGAUACGCGAGGAACCUUACCCGGGCUUAAAUUGCAGAUGAAUUACGGUGAAAGCCGUAAGCCGCAAGGCAUCUGUGAAGGUGCUGCAUGGUUGUCGUCAGCUCGUGCCGUGAGGUGUCGGCUUAAGUGCCAUAACGAGCGCAACCCUUGUUGUCAGUUACUAACAGGUUCCGCUGAGGACUCUGACAAGACUGCCAUCGUAAGAUGUGAGGAAGGUGGGGAUGACGUCAAAUCAGCACGGCCCUUACGUCCGGGGCUACACACGUGUUACAAUGGGGGGGUACAGAGGGCCGCUACCACGCGAGUGGAUGCCAAUCCCAAAAACCUCUCUCAGUUCGGACUGGAGUCUGCAACCCGACUCCACGAAGCUGGAUUCGCUAGUAACCGCGCAUCAGCCACGGCGCGGUGAAUACGUUCCCGGGCCUUGUACACACCGCCCGUCAAGCCAUGGGAGCCGGGGGUACCUGAAGUGCGUAACCGCGAGGAGCGCCCUAGGGUAAAACUGGUGACUGGGGCUAAGUCAUAA
RNAcentral lists this ribosomal RNA (1460 nucleotides) under uncultured organism. RNAcentral describes it as "SSU rRNA". It matches the Rfam family "Bacterial small subunit ribosomal RNA". The record is from RNAcentral.